RNAcentral lists this ribosomal RNA (494 nucleotides) under uncultured bacterium. RNAcentral describes it as "partial 16S ribosomal RNA". It matches the Rfam family "Bacterial small subunit ribosomal RNA", at positions 28 to 507 of the family's 1533-position model. The record is from RNAcentral.
GAUGAACGCUGGCGGCGUGCUUAACACAUGCAAGUCGAACGGAAAGGCCUGCUUUCUCUUCUUGAUUGCGUGUACUCGAGUGGCGAAGGGGUGCGUAACUCGUGAGUGUUUUGCCCCCAACUUGGUUAUAAGCCUCGGAACCUGUGUCUAAUUCCCGAUAGGACUGCAUGGUUGUGUCUGUGAAGGCAGACGUUUUUCUAGUGGUUGGGGGUGAGCUGGCGGCCUAUCUGCUUGUUGGAGGGGUAAUGGCCUACCAAGACGGCGAAGGGUCGCCGGAAUGAGAGGGUGCACGGCCAAACUGAGACUGGGACACGGCCCAGACUGCUACGGGAGGCAGGAGUGGGGCAUAAUGCGCAAUGGGCGGAAGCGUGAUGCAGCGACGCCGCGUUGGGGAUGACGGGAUUGGAGAUGUAAACUACUUUCGACCGCGAGGUAGCCAACUGGUUGGGCGGGUGGUGACGGUAGUGGUAGAAAAAGCACCGGCUAACUACGUG